UGGAGGCAGAAAUUGGGCAUAAGACAAUAUGAGGGGUGGUCUCCUCCCUUACUAGACAUAAGAGAAGCAAUUCUACAUACAGAGUAUAUAAAGAAGGUAAGAUGUGUUUUUUGGUGAAGUUUAUAAAAAAAAUGAGGAUGUGAUUUUUGCUAAAGGAAAAAGUAAUUUCAUUUGGUUAGAGGCUAUUUAAAGUUUGCUUCAGAACAAAGGACAAAAUGAUAUAGCUCAAACUAAAUGGAGAAAAAAAAGGAUGGGGAAUGAGGAAGCUUUGAUUCCUGCGUGGCCGCUGGCUCACCUACGGUAUGAAGCAGCAGCUGUGCUGCAUUCAGUUACUAAAGGUAAAAUUUACCAGUGGAAUUUAGAGAUGGAUGCAACUCUGGGGGAGUUGGUUCACUGGAUGCAUAAGGAAAUGCAAACUAAUAAGGAAAAAGCAAAAUAUUCAUUCCUUUGGUUAUUGUUAUCCAUCAUAGUGAUAUAGGACUUAAGAAGAAAUCACUUAGGCAGAUAAUGAGUGCUAGAGUCCUUGGUAAGGUUUUCCCUUUUAAUGACAAGCAGUCCCCAAAUCAUUUUCUAACAAGAGCAGCCUGUAAAGUCAGGCUGCAGAUAUAGAUGCUGGUAGUUUGUGCCAAUCGUGUUCAAAAUAGUGGCUCCAUCUUCCCUUCUCUCUUUGUCAGCCACACGUGCAGUAAGCAGCAGACAAGAUGGUGCCCGGACAAGUGGAAAGCUCAUUUGCAUAAUACAAUUAUGAAAGUAACUCUGAGACUUGUGGUUACCAAGAAGAUAGUCAAUGUGGGGAGAACGGCAAAGCUAAGUGACUAUUCAAAUCAGAAGGCUGGAGAUAUUUCUGAAGAAAAGUCAGAAAGCGAAGAGUGCAACGAAAAUUGCCUGGGGCAGUGUUGAGGAUUGACAGAAGGGUUCCUGAUCCUUUGGCUGAGAAGCCAAAUCCUUUUUCACCAGAGAAAGUAAAAUGGUCUGAGGGGUGGGAAACAAAGAAGCUCCUGAGACCAGAACAUAAAAAUGUAAGGUUGAUACGAUUUUGAAAGCUGGAAUGUUUAAAUAGGCUUUGUGUAAAGUGGUUGUGACUCCUUUUAACCUAAAAGUUUUAUGAAAAUGAAUAUUGUAUCCAGCUGGGGGAUGUUUCUCCUACCUACUACUAUAAAACAGAAGGCAUGUAAAUCCACCCAUCAAGCAAUAUUAAUUGGACUUUCUAAAUGAGAACCCAUAACAUUGCCCGAGCCUAGAACGUAGAGUAGAAACUGGAGUGCUGGUAGUGCCUGGGCUACAUUCAACAUCGCAAAGGACCCAGUUCUCCAGUUGAGAGCCCUUUGUGGAGCAUUUACUGUGGCUUGUGGCCAAAGCUUGUGAGCACCUGUCAACUAUGACUGCUGAAACUUCGGACUAAAGAAUUUCCACUUCAGGGCCAUUUAAUGACCAGUUAUGAGAUGUUAACUGAAGCCACCCAUAUGUAAAGAAUAUAAAAUGAUCUUGACACCUGAAAUACCCAUGCUGUCUGGGAUGAUGCCAGAGAAGCACCCUAAUGGGGAUAGCAGUGCCCAGAAGUGCCCAGAGUUCCGUAAUCCAAUUGGAAUGACUUAUCAUGCUACCUGAUGAAUGCAAGGAGGAGAUACUCAUAUACAGGGAGCCCUUAUUCCCAUAGAGUUGACUCUGGACCUGUGCAAGGAGUUGCUGGAUUCUGCAGUGCCUGAUAAACAGCUCUCACCUGACUGACAAUGAGCUGCUUGAUUUGAGGAUGGCAGUUUCAAGGUGAACAGACAACAUCCUGAUUGGAAGGCUGCUACUCUAAUUGUAAAAAGUAUACUUUUGUCAGCAGAAUUUACCUUUCUGUCUACCUCAGUUCUCCAAAAUUUGGAAACUUUUCAUGAGUAUUCUUAUUUUAUGGCAACAUGGUUAUUUGCAUAAGUUUGUAAGAAUCUGUUUUCUUUUGAAACAGGACACAGUUGGAGACGUUGGUUAUUUUACCAAGGCCUGAAGUGUCUGUUUCUAGCAUCUGACCAGAGGCUGUGUUUCCCAGUCUGUCAGAAUGGCCAUGCUGCAGGCUGCAGCCCUUUACGAGAAAUAAAGCUCUCCUUUCCAAA
Molecule: long non-coding RNA, 2096 nt
Organism: Homo sapiens (human)
Lineage: Eukaryota; Metazoa; Chordata; Mammalia; Primates; Hominidae
Exons: 2
Source: RefSeq, a predicted model, not a curated record